Molecule: long non-coding RNA, 1293 nt
Filed under: Salmo salar (Atlantic salmon)
Lineage: Eukaryota; Metazoa; Chordata; Actinopteri; Salmoniformes; Salmonidae
Description: lncRNA (ENSSSAG00000116917.1)
Source: RNAcentral
UUUCAUGGAACAAUACUAUUUGGAACAAUACAAUUUGGUUGAAAUAGAAUAACCUGAUCUGGCAGGUUGCAGGUACAGUUGGGUCUGGAGCACACAGCCUCGUGCAUUCCUGACGUCACCAGGCAUAUGUCGCAUACUGAGAAGAGACCAGAAUUGUCAACAGUUGAGAGGAAGAAGCUGAAGCACUAUCGCAUUUCCUAGUUGCCACUGGUGUUUACUGGCAAACGGACGUCAUUUGCAUUGGAACUUCAAACACGGAGUGUUCUAAUUUAGUGCCUAGGCUACGUUAUAAAAACGACUUCUGUGGCUGAGAGCUCUUUUUGGAGGGAACAUGGCUUCAAAUGGGAUAGAAAGUAUGCAGUUAGCGGAGGACCAGAUCAAAAUUCUGGAGGAGAAUUUCACCAGAGUCAGCAAGCAUCCGGAUGAGUCGACGCUCAUGUUAAUCGCAGCUGAAAGCGGACUAACCGAGGAAGAGACAGCGAAAUGGUUCAGGCUACGCAACGCACGGUGGAGACAGGCCGAGGGCCUUCCAGCUCAACUGGGAUCAGUGAAAGACUGAAAUUGGAGUGGUGAAGGAAACCUCCCCCUCACCUCGUUGCUUCUCUGACUGAUCUGCCACGCCCUUACUGACCAGCUCCCAGGACACAUCAACCACUCAUACCUUCCUUCCAUCAUUCUCUCUCCUUUGUAUCUAAGCUAUUUUCAUUUAGUGAAUGUGUGAAGUGUAAUGCGAGUCAAAUGUUUUUUGCCAAUAUAAUUGGCAUGUUUACAUAUAAUAAUAAAUAAACAAACAUAUAUUAUAAAUGACGUAGCCUGCUUUCAUGCUGCAUGUCAUCAGUAUGAGGGGCCUUCUGAACUUAAUGAGGAAGUACUGUAGGGUACAAUGGCGGAAAGGUUUGGAGGGGGGGACUUUGUUGUAAGCCUUUGUUUUGUGCAUCUCUCAGCAGGGAGCGGGAUAACAUUGGGCUUUCAUGGGACUAUAAAACAUGUGAGGCAGCGCUCAUGUUAUGACACAUUCAACAGGAAUCAGCUGGCCCUGUAACAGGGACUUGGGGUUGAUGGCUAAUUUGAAGGGAAAGGCUUUUGACGUAAGCUGGGAUCAGAGCAACCAACUGCCAGCAGGUGAUGCCACCUACCUGUCGGUUCAAUUGUCCCUGUUUCUAGGAUGUCAGACAUCCUUUCUAAAUAUCUGUCUAGGGAAAACAACAUGUAAAGGAAAGAGAGGGAGACAGAACCCACUGGGCACACACUGGUUGAAUCAACAUUGUUUCAAUGUCAUGUCAAUGAAAUGAC